GGGCUCUUGGCACAGUUGGUAGCGCGCACGCUUCGCAUAUUUAUUCGCAGUUGCGUGAGGUCGUGAGUUCGACUCUCACAGUGUCCA
Non-coding RNA from Termitomyces sp. T32_za158, 87 nucleotides. The record is from the annotation of a GenBank genome assembly. NCBI's taxonomy places the organism in Eukaryota, Fungi, Basidiomycota, Agaricomycetes, Agaricales, Lyophyllaceae.